UGGGAGAAGAGUGAAGACAUGCUACCCUCAGAUGCAUCACUGGCGAGCACAAGACAAGCCACUUGCUAAACAAUUAUUAGCUAUCCUCGACGAUCCUGAGGUAUAUAUUAUACAUUUGCGAUUUAUGUUGUACAUCCUUCUGAAAUAUUUAUACAUGGUCAUUAACUCGGUGAAAUAUCAAUAUGUCAACUUCAAGUCCUCACCGAGUUGAUAGCGUCAAUCGAGGAGGAGGGUCAAAGAUAUUUUCCUAGAUUGUUUGUUCCGAAGCACCAGACAAUCAGAUGACUAAGUCAGAUGUGGAUCAAGAUAGGGUAUGUUAGUCGAAUAUGAUUUGUUGAUUUUCGUUUUGAUUUUUUUAAUUAAGUCAUUUAUUUGUAAUAUUCAUUUUUUAAGAGCGCCGUCUAGUAUCAUCUUCACCUAGGAAAACACCUCCGUCAAGGAGAUUACCUCCUGCAUGUAGUCGUAGUACUUCGAUAGAUGAUAUGUUCGAGCUCCUUACUGCAUUCAUGAGGGAUAUGAGAAGCGACAAGGCGGAGUUACGAGAUGAUGUCGCAAUGAUUAAGAGACCUUCAUGUUGACACCGUAGGGAUACAAGGUGACGUAGCUGGUCUGGGAGAGACUGGUGGCUUUCGGGAUGUAGGGGAUAACAAAGGGCUUUGCGGUUCUCAAGAUUCUCAUGAACGAUGGGGUAAUGGAGGAGAUGGUCAGAUGGGGUAUGAUAAUUCGUCGUAGCCAUCAAAUGCUGCAUUAGAAUCAUUUUUUUCAUAUACAACGGAGGAUGUGGCCUCGAUGGAGGUGACGAAGGGAGUACAAAAGAAGGUGGUGAAGGGGUACAGGAGGG
RNAcentral lists this long non-coding RNA (841 nucleotides) under Olea europaea subsp. europaea. Lineage: Eukaryota; Viridiplantae; Streptophyta; Magnoliopsida; Lamiales; Oleaceae. The record is from RNAcentral.